AGAUGGGCAUCAGAUUUGUGGCGGCGAUGACGAUGAUUGUGGUGGCGGCGGCGGCGACGGGAUCGGCGGCGCAGUCGACGCCGGAGUGCGCGUCGAAGCUGGUGGGCUGUGCGCAAUACUUGAACUCGACGACGCCGCCGGAUACGUGCUGCGGGCCGCUGAAGCAGGAGGCGAAGGACGACCUGCCCUGCCUCUGCGCCCUCUUCAACAACACCGCUGUCCUCAAGGCCUUCAAUGUCAACAUCACCCAGGCCCUACAGAUGGCCAAGCGCUGCGGCGUCAACGCUGACCAGAGCACCUGCGCCACU
RNAcentral lists this long non-coding RNA (308 nucleotides) under Musa acuminata (dwarf banana). RNAcentral's name for it is "long non-coding RNA (MACU_LNC005460)". Lineage: Eukaryota; Viridiplantae; Streptophyta; Magnoliopsida; Zingiberales; Musaceae. The record is from RNAcentral.